Molecule: unclassified non-coding RNA, 190 nt
Filed under: uncultured fungus
Lineage: Eukaryota; Fungi
Description: sequence contains ITS1
Source: RNAcentral
GUAUUUUGUUGCAAAUAAAUGCAUUAACGUUCUUAAGACUUAACUAGUGUGUAAAUUAUCGAGGCAUUUCUGCCUCGCAAGAGUGCACAUGGGGUGAAAUGAGAUAUAAGAGCGUGCACAUGCUUCGAUAAAGCCAGCACAACUCUUUAUAAACUCGAUAAUGAUCCUUCCGCAGGUUCACCUACGGAAA